GUGGGUUCUCUUCAGAUGCUUCCACCGUAAAGAUUGUUAUGGAUAUGCUAUCGAGUGGUGAAUUGGACAAAAGCUUUUUGGAUAUGCUUUCUGGUCCUUCUGGAGACAGAUCAUCAUCGUUGGAUUGAAUCACCAAGAUUCUGACUCUGGUUGCUCCUCUUCCCUCAGUGUCUGGUGGGUUACAAAUUGCAGUCUCCCUGCUCUCUGCUGUUGCUGUGUGUUGGAGGAGGAAUGCUGCUUCUGAGAAGGCCCUUCCUUCUCUCUGGAUCUCGUAUGCUUAUAACUUCUCCUUGUCUUAGAUACUCUUAGAGGUUGAUUGUUUCCAGCUUUUGAAUUAGUUUUUGGCUUUUGUUUUUGAAAAAUUUAUUUUUUUAGACAAUCAAGUUUUUAAGAAAAUAGAUUCCCUAAAAUCUAGGAAAACUAGUUUUUUCAAGUAACUGUAUUUUUCAAAGAAAAACUAAAAUCUAAGUUUUUGUGGUUUCUGUAAAAUCCAACGACAGUUUUCCAUUUUUUUUAAUUUAAACUUUUGCUAUAUUUAUGCAUUAACACAUGAAAAUAAAUAAAAACAAUAACUACUAUAAACAAUCAGCUCUAGUACAAGUUUUUGUUUAAUAGUAUAUUACUAAAAUAAUUUCUAUUUAUAACAUUUUAAAAACUUCUCAAUAAAAUAAAAUUAGUUAUUUAAAUUUAUUUUUAUGUAAAGUUUAUAUGUUUUGUUGAUAAUCUAUUUUUCUUUGAAAAAAACAAGAUCUAAAUUCUCUUGGUUUUCCCUAUGACUAAAAAUGUUUUUCUUUUUUAAAAAAAAAUCAAUAAUUUUAGUUAUAUCUUUGUGACAUAAAUGUUAUAGAAAAUUAAUUAAUUUUUUUAAGUCUGUAUAUUGUAAAUCUGUUACACUUUAAUUUAUUUUUGUAUUUUGUAUUUAAAAUCUACUGCAAAAUCAAAAACCAAAAAUCAAAAACCAAAAUCUAAAAUCUAAAAACCAAAAGCCAAAAACUAAAAACCAGAAUCCAAAAACUUGUAAAACAAUCAUCACCUUAAUGUUUCAUUGUCUGUUAAUGAAUACUAGCCUUUGAUCCGCGCGCCCACGCGGGUUUCAAGUUUUUUAUAAAAUAAAUAUUUUAUAUAUUUUUAAUACUCACUAUAUUACAUAUUUUUUAUAUGAUAUGUAUACGCAUAACAUUUUUAUUGUUUAUACAUUGUAAUUUUAUCUCAUUUUAAUCAUUUAGAUGA
Molecule: long non-coding RNA, 1230 nt
Organism: Raphanus sativus (radish)
Lineage: Eukaryota; Viridiplantae; Streptophyta; Magnoliopsida; Brassicales; Brassicaceae
Exons: 2
Source: RefSeq, a predicted model, not a curated record